CCUACGGGUGACAGCAGUGGGGAAUAUUGGGCAAUGGGCGCAAGCCUGACCCAGCAACGCCGCGUGAAGGAAGAAGGCUUUCGGGUUGUAAACUUCUUUUAUCAGGGACGAAGCAAGUGACGGUACCUGAUGAAUAAGCCACGUCUAACUACGUGCCAGCAGCCGCGGUAAUACGGAGGUGGCGAGCGUUAUCCGGAUUUACUGGGUGUAAAGGGCGCGUAGGCGGGAAAGCAAGUCAGAUGUGAAAACCAUGGGCUCAACCUGGAGUCUGCAUUUGAAACUGUUUUUCUUGAGUACUGGGGAGGCAGACGGAAUUCCUAGUGUAGCGGUGAAAUGCGUAGAUAUUAGGAGGAACACCAGUGGCGAAGGCGGUCUGCUAGACAGCAACUGACGCUGAGGCGCGAAAGCGUGGGGAGCAAACAGGAUUAGAUACCCUAGUAGUC
RNAcentral lists this ribosomal RNA (443 nucleotides) under uncultured bacterium. RNAcentral describes it as "partial 16S ribosomal RNA". It matches the Rfam family "Bacterial small subunit ribosomal RNA", at positions 338 to 795 of the family's 1533-position model. The record is from RNAcentral.